GUGUAAAGGGAGGGUAGACGCAGUGCAAGUCUUGGAGUGAAAGACGAGGGGGUCAAUCACCCGACCUGCUCUGUAAACUGUACGCUGAGUGCAGAGAGGUAAGUAGAAAUUCCUAGUGUAGCGGUGAAAUGCGUAGAUAUUAGGAAGGAACACAGUGGGGAAGGCGGCUUACUGGACUGUAACUGACGUUGAGGCUCGAAAGCGUGGGGAGCAAACACGAUUAGAUACCCUGGUAGUGCACGCCGUAAACGAUGAUCACUAGGUGUCGGGGGUUAAAGAACAUUCGGUGCCGCAGCCAACGCAGUAAGUGAUCCACCUGGGGAGUACGUUCGCAAGAAUGAAACUCAAAGGAAUUGACGGGGACCCGCACAAGCGGUGGAGCAUGUGGUUUAAUUUGAAGCAACGCGAAGAACCUUACCAGGCCUUGACAUCCCCCCGAAUGGGUGGUAAUGCAUCCAGCCCUUCGGGGCAGGGGAGACAGGUGGUGCAUGGUUGUCGUCAGCUCGUGUCGUGAGAUGUUGGGUUAAGUCCCGCAACGAGCGCAACCCCUAUCCUUAGUAGCCAGCGAGCAAGACGGGCACUCUAGGGAGACUGCCGGGGAUAACCCGGAGGAAGGUGGGAAUGACGUCAAAUCAUCAUGCCCCUUAUGGCCUGGGGUACACACGUGCUACAAUGGCGUAAACAAAGGGAAGAGAAGGCGUGAGCGUAAGCAAAACCCAAAAAUAACGUCCCAGUUCGGAUUGUAGUUUGCAACCCGACUACAUGAAGCUGGAAUCGCUAGUAAUCGCGGAUCAGAAUGCCGCGGUGAAUACGUUCCCGGGUCUUGUACACACCGCCCGUCA
This 842-nucleotide ribosomal RNA is filed under the name uncultured bacterium. Its description in RNAcentral is "bacterial SSU rRNA". It matches the Rfam family "Bacterial small subunit ribosomal RNA", at positions 558 to 1399 of the family's 1533-position model. The record is from RNAcentral.